Nematostella vectensis (starlet sea anemone) is the source of this 3321-nucleotide long non-coding RNA. RefSeq lists it as uncharacterized. The transcript has 3 exons. NCBI's taxonomy places the organism in Eukaryota, Metazoa, Cnidaria, Anthozoa, Actiniaria, Edwardsiidae. The record is from RefSeq and is a predicted model, not a curated record.
AGUGGACAUUGUGUCUUGAGGCCAUGGAAAUGUACCUGGAGGAUCAGAAUAAAGGGGGGGAAGGUGGAGACCCAUUCCUCCAGUAUUAUUUUUUAAUGGCUUUAAAAAAAGCACUCACCGUUGCAGUUCCCUUUUGCUGAGCCCAAAUCUGUGCCUUCCUCCAGGUGAGUCCCUGAGGGCCGUUUUUGCUGAACACUUUUGAGCCCCCAAUGUAUACAUUUAGGGAUCCCACUCCACUGCCGACCAUGUGAUAGUAGAAGAAGAGGCAUUUAUCGCCGCUAAAAUCCAAAGAUACCAACUCCAUCCUAGAUGUAUCACCACGUCUCCGGUCUGAUGCCUCGGUGUACAUGUAAUAACCUGUACAUGGUAUCAUCAUUAACACAAUCAUCAUUAUCACAAAUAUUGCGGCCUAAAUGGAUUAUGACGUCAUCUUUCAAGUCCCUCGCCUUUUACCGCCGGGAAGGUAUAUUUUUCGCUUUAAAAGCUUUUUCCCGUCGAUUUUUGCAAUUUUAGAGGAGCCAGUGCGUUAGGUCAUCUUUCCAAGAUAUCUCGUGCAACGCUUCGAAGCGAUGGAGUAAAAAUUAUGGAAGAUGAUAUUGACCAUGGCAAAGAAGAUGAAGAUAAGUAAAUAUAUGGAUAUAUAUAAGGAUGGACAGAGAGAUCAUUGAAUUUUCUCCUUUGUAUUCCACUCUUAGUGAUAAAAAAACUUAUACUAUUCUUUUUUUUAAAUAUUUGUUUUAUUUGUUCAAGCUAUGUGUUAUUGACUAUUACACUUUUUGAAAGUAUGGUUACAAACUGACCCCCUAGUUCUUAAGCACUGCCAAGAAAAUAGGGAGGACCCCCUUCGUAUUUACAAAGACAAUGCUUAAAGAACGCUGCUUGAUGGAAAAAUGGUAUGAGAUUAUAUGUUUUUCAACGUUAGUUGAGAUUUGCACCCCAGCCUCUGCUACGGCCCUGCCCCUGGUCCAUGGACUCCUUGUUAAAAAUAGGUUUUCUAGUAAUAAUAUGUUUUCUAGCAAAGGAAGGUUUUUUCUGCUUCUAUUAUGAUCCGAGUAUAAACCAAGAGCAUGGAUGAAGGUUGGUUAAAAUGUUUCUAUUUAUUAAAUCCCAGAGCUAACACAUUAUUAUACUUCUGUUUUUUUUUUAAUUCACACUAAAACAUAAUAUAAGACACAGCAUAUUGUGCAUUCAAAAGGUGCAAUGGGCUUUAGAAAUGAGAGGGGAUCUAUGAUUAUUUCACAUCACUUUUUGGUGCUUGAUUGUUAAAAUUGUAUGACUGGACAAAUUUUUUCCACUUUUCUCCCAUUUACUCUGACUGAAAAUUUUCUACCAGAAAGAAUUCAAAUCCUUAGAAUUCUGUUGGAGUAAAAUUGUUUAGGAGAAGAAUGAUAAGCUCAUGAAAAUGAUUUGUUUUCUAGACAUAUUGCAUUAUACAUAUGCUGUAAAAAACAUUUACAACAUAACAUGUGUCCACUGCAUUUCUUUGGGAGUGAACAUUUUACCAACAGGCUUCUGUAUUUUGGGGGUGGCAAGUUUCCAUCUGUUUUGGGUGUAUGACAUUUUGAGCUCUGUUGGACCAUUCCAUAAUGUUUAUAACUGAGUACUGCCCCCCCCCCCCCCCCCCCCCUUCCAACCCACCCCUGGGCAAUUAUCCCUCUAACUUUCAAGGCAUAUAAAUCCUAAGCCCAUUCAGCCUUUCGGCUAUUAAGUCAUAGCCCAUUCAUGCUCUAGGGACAUUCUCAAAAUCUUAAGAGUUAUACAAAAGAUGGGCUGGUUGGUACAAGCCAAGCAAAAAAAAAAUCAAACUGUGUCUUCAAUUUGUUUUAUUUGAUAUUCUGUGUACCACAUGCUUUUUGUGUGUAGGGGAUGAGACGAUUUAAGCUUUAAUCACUAUUAAGUCAUUAAAACAAAUAUUAAAUACUGUAUGUGUCAAGUAAUUUUCUGCAAUGGCUGAUCCAAGUGUGGUUCUGUGGUCCAAUCCUUUUUAAGCACAAAGCUAUUGUAAUAGUUUUCAUAAAUUGAACCACCUUAGAAAAAUUCUAGACCCCCAUUCAGCUUUUAACAGCGCCUGCACAAGGCAAUUUAAAAAAUGAAUGUUCAUGAUCGACCGACAAUAUCGGACGGGCUGCAUAUAUAACUUAUUGAGGCUAAACACAACACACCAUAAGGCAUGUAUUUAUGCAUGCAUUAUGAGCUUCGGGGGACGCAACGAAAACCAUUUGCAGUAUUGAGUAGUCAAUUCCAGGGUCAAGAAUCCAUGCCUGUUUGUCCACCGUUAAGUGUGCCUUCGAAUUCCAGUAUAAUUACGCUUCCAAGCUGUAAUUCAUUCGUGAUGACCAUAAUCCUCACUGUCAUCUAUUGACUAUAGCGAAUCGGACUUUCACACCGAACAUAGCCAUUCAAAAUAUAAAAUUUAACACAUCUUUGCGCCCAAAGGCUUUUCUACAAGUCUUUUAAGUUUUGAUACGUCUAAAACUCUACCAAAAAGCAGAAAGAUACUGUUUAUGCUCUUAUUCUCGUCUCUCUAUGGCCGCCAUGUUUUUUACUUAGGUCCAGCGAGUGUUAUGACGUCAUCUUACAAUUAACUGUGAUUGGUUGUUUCAAUGUUUUGAUGCCUCGAAUGUCAAAACAGAAAAGUGUUUCCAGAAAAGGAAAUGUUCCGAGGUGGAUCAUCAUAAAUAUCAUCACCGGCAACACGACUUCUUCUUGAUGCGUCUGUGUUCAUGUAUUUUUUAUUUCUUACCUGACCAACCUCAGUUUUUAUUUCUGCUGGGUAACUGCUCUAUUUGUUCAAUGUUCCCUGUAACUAGCCUUUGGUCCGAUAAAGUAGAAUAUGCAGCGAUUUGUUACACUCCCCUGUAUUAUAGCUCAUUACUGUACCUUUCAUUGACGUGUGAUCCGAGCUCGGCCCAGUCCCUUGGGAUGGAGUUCUCCCGCGCCGUCUGGACCAAUCAAAGUCAUCGUUCUUCAUCUGCACGAAGCCACAGUCAUCUUUCUCAAAGUCGCAUUUGAAACCUAGCAUAUGGCAAGUUUUGUGAGGAGCCAAGUUGUGGAUCGGUGCUCACUACUUUAUAUUCACAUUUUUUCGAUAUGCUUUUUAUGAUAUUUUUAUGAUAUUUAUAGAUGUUUGUGAAAUAUUCACUUAAAAUGACUGACAAGCAAAGACCUGGAAUAUAUAUAUAUAUAUUAUGUGUGUGUUUGGGUAUUUUCCUUUUGUUGCACUUCAUUCACAUGAUGAUCAGCGACCUACAUGAUGGGUGUAGUGGUAAAGUGAAGUGUGACGUGUAGAGGUAAAAGAGAUAAAUAAAAAUUUAGAAAACA